UGCCUAAUACAUGCAAGUCGAGCGAACGGACGAGAAGCUUGCUUCUCUGAUGUUAGCGGCGGACGGGUGAGUAACACGUGGAUAACCUACCUAUAAGACUGGGAUAACUUCGGGAAACCGGAGCUAAUACCGGAUAAUAUUUUGAACCGCAUGGUUCAAAAGUGAAAGACGGUCUUGCUGUCACUUAUAGAUGGAUCCGCGCUGCAUUAGCUAGUUGGUAAGGUAACGGCUUACCAAGGCAACGAUGCAUAGCCGACCUGAGAGGGUGAUCGGCCACACUGGAACUGAGACACGGUCCAGACUCCUACGGGAGGCAGCAGUAGGGAAUCUUCCGCAAUGGGCGAAAGCCUGACGGAGCAACGCCGCGUGAGUGAUGAAGGUCUUCGGAUCGUAAAACUCUGUUAUUAGGGAAGAACAUAUGUGUAAGUAACUGUGCACAUCUUGACGGUACCUAAUCAGAAAGCCACGGCUAACUACGUGCCAGCAGCCGCGGUAAUACGUAGGUGGCAAGCGUUAUCCGGAAUUAUUGGGCGUAAAGCGCGCGUAGGCGGUUUUUUAAGUCUGAUGUGAAAGCCCACGGCUCAACCGUGGAGGGUCAUUGGAAACUGGAAAACUUGAGUGCAGAAGAGGAAAGUGGAAUUCCAUGUGUAGCGGUGAAAUGCGCAGAGAUAUGGAGGAACACCAGUGGCGAAGGCGACUUUCUGGUCUGUAACUGA
RNAcentral lists this ribosomal RNA (716 nucleotides) under uncultured Staphylococcus sp. RNAcentral's name for it is "bacterial SSU rRNA". It matches the Rfam family "Bacterial small subunit ribosomal RNA", at positions 45 to 743 of the family's 1533-position model. Lineage: Bacteria; Bacillati; Bacillota; Bacilli; Caryophanales; Staphylococcaceae. The record is from RNAcentral.